RNAcentral lists this ribosomal RNA (392 nucleotides) under uncultured Actinomycetes bacterium. Its description in RNAcentral is "bacterial SSU rRNA". It matches the Rfam family "Bacterial small subunit ribosomal RNA", at positions 9 to 404 of the family's 1533-position model. Lineage: Bacteria; Bacillati; Actinomycetota; Actinomycetes. The record is from RNAcentral.
GAGUUUGAUCUUGGCUCAGGACGAACGCUGGCGGCGUGCUUAACACAUGCAAGUCGAGCGGAAAGGCCCUUCGGGGUACUCGAACGGCGAACGGGUGAGUAACACGUGAGUAACCUGCCCUGGACUUUGGGAUAACCCUCGGAAACGGGGGCUAAUACCGGAUAUGACCUUGAGGCUCGCAUGGGCUUGGGUGGAAAGUUUUUCGGUCUGGGAUGGGCUCGCGGCCUAUCAGCUUGUUGGUGGGGUGAUGGCCUACCAAGGCGACGACGGGUAGCCGGCCUGAGAGGGCGACCGGCCACACUGGGACUGAGACACGGCCCAGACUCCUACGGGAGGCAGCAGUGGGGAAUAUUGCACAAUGGGCGAAAGCCUGAUGCAGCGACGCCGCGUGA